This 2126-nucleotide ribosomal RNA is filed under the name Vibrio vulnificus E64MW. RNAcentral describes it as "bacterial LSU rRNA". It matches the Rfam family "Bacterial large subunit ribosomal RNA", at positions 1 to 2170 of the family's 2925-position model. The record is from RNAcentral. Lineage: Bacteria; Pseudomonadati; Pseudomonadota; Gammaproteobacteria; Vibrionales; Vibrionaceae.
UUAAGUGACUAAGCGUACACGGUGGAUGCCUUGGCAGUCAGAGGCGAUGAAGGACGUAGUAACUUGCGAUAAGCGUAGAUGAGGCAGUAACAGCCACUUGAGUCUACGAUUUCCGAAUGGGGAAACCCACUGGCAUAAGCCAGUAUCAUUGAGUGAAUACAUAGCUCAAUGAAGCGAACCGGGAGAACUGAAACAUCUAAGUACCCCGAGGAAAAGAAAUCAACCGAGAUUCCGAAAGUAGCGGCGAGCGAAAUUGGAUUAGCCCUUAAGCUUUACAUGUGUUAGACGAACGGUCUGGAAAGUCCGACGAUACAGGGUGAUAGUCCCGUAGUUGACGAUGCAUGUUCAGUGAAAUCGAGUAGGGCGGGACACGUGUUAUCCUGUCUGAAUAUGGGGGGACCAUCCUCCAAGGCUAAAUACUCCUGACUGACCGAUAGUGAACCAGUACCGUGAGGGAAAGGCGAAAAGAACCCCUGUGAGGGGAGUGAAAUAGAACCUGAAACCGUGUACGUACAAGCAGUAGGAGCACCUUCGUGGUGUGACUGCGUACCUUUUGUAUAAUGGGUCAGCGACUUAUAUUCAGUGGCAAGGUUAACCAUCUAGGGGAGCCGUAGGGAAACCGAGUCUUAACUGGGCGCCAUAGUCUCUGGAUAUAGACCCGAAACCGAGUGAUCUAGCCAUGGGCAGGUUGAAGGUUGAGUAACAUCAACUGGAGGACCGAACCGACUAAUGUUGAAAAAUUAGCGGAUGACUUGUGGCUAGGGGUGAAAGGCCAAUCAAACUCGGAGAUAGCUGGUUCUCCCCGAAAGCUAUUUAGGUAGCGCCUCGGACGAAUACUACUGGGGGUAGAGCACUGUUAAGGCUAGGGGGUCAUCCCGACUUACCAACCCUUUGCAAACUCCGAAUACCAGUAAGUACUAUCCGGGAGACACACGGCGGGUGCUAACGUCCGUCGUGGAGAGGGAAACAACCCAGACCGCCAGCUAAGGUCCCAAAUUACAGCUAAGUGGGAAACGAUGUGGGAAGGCUUAGACAGCUAGGAUGUUGGCUUAGAAGCAGCCAUCAUUUAAAGAAAGCGUAAUAGCUCACUAGUCGAGUCGGCCUGCGCGGAAGAUGUAACGGGGCUAAGUUGUAAACCGAAGCUGCGGCAAUGUUCUAUGAACAUUGGGUAGGGGAGCGUUCUGUAAGCCGUUGAAGGUGUGUUGUAAAGCAUGCUGGAGGUAUCAGAAGUGCGAAUGCUGACAUGAGUAACGACAAGGGGGGUGAAAAACCUCCCCGCCGGAAGACCAAGGGUUCCUGUCCAACGUUAAUCGGGGCAGGGUAAGUCGACCCCUAAGGCGAGGCUGAAAAGCGUAGUCGAUGGGAAACGGGUUAAUAUUCCCGUACUUCUUACAAUUGCGAUGGGGGGACGGAGAAGGCUAGGUGGGCCUGGCGACGGUUGUCCAGGUUCAAGUGCGUAGGCUGAGUGUUUAGGUAAAUCCGGAUACUCUUAAGGCUGAGACACGACGUCGAGCUACUACGGUAGUGAAGUCAUUGAUGCCAUGCUUCCAGGAAAAGCCUCUAAGCUUCAGAUUGUAAGGAAUCGUACCCCAAACCGACACAGGUGGUCGGGUAGAGAAUACCAAGGCGCUUGAGAGAACUCGGGUGAAGGAACUAGGCAAAAUGGUACCGUAACUUCGGGAGAAGGUACGCUCUUGAUGGUGAAGUCCCUUGCGGAUGGAGCUGACGAGAGUCGCAGAUACCAGGUGGCUGCAACUGUUUAUUAAAAACACAGCACUGUGCAAAAUCGUAAGAUGACGUAUACGGUGUGACGCCUGCCCGGUGCCGGAAGGUUAAUUGAUGGGGUUAGCGUAAGCGAAGCUCUUGAUCGAAGCCCCGGUAAACGGCGGCCGUAACUAUAACGGUCCUAAGGUAGCGAAAUUCCUUGUCGGGUAAGUUCCGACCUGCACGAAUGGCGUAAUGAUGGCCACGCUGUCUCCACCCGAGACUCAGUGAAAUUGAAAUCGCUGUGAAGAUGCAGUGUACCCGCGGCUAGACGGAAAGACCCCGUGAACCUUUACUACAGCUUGGCACUGAACAUUGAACCUACAUGUGUAGGAUAGGUGGGAGGCUUUGAAGACGUGACG